AUACCAUGAUGAGGACACUUUCUGAGCAAUUCCUUGAAUCUUUCCCAAGCCUCGUACAAACUUUCAUCUUCAAGUUGAUGGAAGGAGGUAAUCUCAUUCCGUAACUUU
Citrus sinensis (sweet orange) is the source of this 108-nucleotide non-coding RNA. Lineage: Eukaryota; Viridiplantae; Streptophyta; Magnoliopsida; Sapindales; Rutaceae. The record is from Rfam.